AUACGAAGGGUGCGAGCGUUAAUCGGAAUUACUGGGCGUAGAGCGCGCGUAGGCGGUUGGAUAAGUCGGAUGUGAAAGCCCCGGGCUCAACCUGGGAAUUGCAUUCGAAACUGUCCGGCUAGAGUAUGGUAGAGGGAAGCGGAAUUCCACAUGUAGCGGUGAAAUGCGUAGAUAUGUGGAGGAACACCAGUGGCGAAGGCGGCUUCCUGGACCAAUACUGACGCUGAGGUGCGAAAGCGUGGGGAGCAAACAGGAUUAGAUACCCUAGUAGUCC
This 274-nucleotide ribosomal RNA is filed under the name uncultured bacterium. RNAcentral describes it as "partial 16S ribosomal RNA". It matches the Rfam family "Bacterial small subunit ribosomal RNA", at positions 523 to 796 of the family's 1533-position model. The record is from RNAcentral.